This is a long non-coding RNA of Astatotilapia calliptera (eastern happy), 578 nucleotides long. Lineage: Eukaryota; Metazoa; Chordata; Actinopteri; Cichliformes; Cichlidae. The record is from Ensembl.
CCUCGCCAGCUGGACACCGUCCUGUCUGUGCCUGGCCUCGAUUACGAGACGCAAUUGUCUCGAUGCUAAAAUGAUUGCUAUUGGUUGUGAGCAGUAAUGGUGAUUGCUGGCGGACUCCUACACACCUGUGCGCCCUCAUGAUUUGGCUAAUCAUGAAACUGGUGUACGCAAGGAGAGCUAGUAUGAGAGACUCUGAUUGCUCCCCCUGCCAAAGUGCACUUAAUUACUCAAAAAGAUCCCAGCAGCACUGACUUCUCAUCUUGUGUCUCUUCAGUAUGAGUGCGGUGCAGCCUCCUCUGCUGUGGUCCACAGUGGUGACGGAAAGGAAGUGGAAGUGGGAGGAACUGGAGGGUCAACGGUCAAAGACUUGACAAAGAUAAAGGACGCCGGUGAGAUAAAGAUGCUGACAUGGCCUGAAACAACUCAUGUUAGGGAAACCAUCCAGCAUCAUACAGUAAGUUCUACAAAUUUCAGAGCUACAAAAGGAGCUUGCUGAGCUCGAGAAGCAUAACGAGGAAUUGGAGGACGAGGUUGAAAUGAAGAAGGCUGCAUACAUGGAUGAGAUUGCUGAUCUAGAG